GACGAACGCUGGCGGCGUGCUUAACACAUGCAAGUCGAACGGAGUGGCGAACGGGUGAGUAACACGUGGGUGACCUUCCCUGCACUUCGGGAUAAGCUUGGGGAACUGGUACUAAUACCGGCUAGUGUGGGAUGGGCGCGCGGCCUAUCAGCUUGUUGGUGGGGUAAUGGCCUACCAAGGCGGCGACGGGUAGCCGGCCUGGGGGGGGAGACGGCCACAAGAGGCCUGAGACACGGAGCAGACUCCUACAGGGGGCAACGGUGGGGAGUAGUGCACAAUGAGGGGAAGCCUGAUGAGGAGGCGCUGCGUGUGGAAUGACGUCCCUCGGGGUGGAAACUCCUUUCACCAACGACGCGGUAGAUGGAGAAGAAGCACCGGCUAACUACGUGCCAGCAGCCGCGGUAAUAC
Molecule: ribosomal RNA, 408 nt
Filed under: uncultured bacterium
Lineage: Bacteria
Description: partial 16S ribosomal RNA
Rfam family: Bacterial small subunit ribosomal RNA
Source: RNAcentral